CAGCCGCCGCGGUAAUACCGGCGGCCCGAGUGGCGGUCACUAUUAUUGGGCUUAAAGCGUCCGUAGCCGGGUUGGGAAGGCCUCCGGGAAAUCUGGCCGCUUAACGGUCAGAAUGCCGGAGGAUACUCCCAGCCUAGGGAGCGGGAGAGGCCGAGGGGAUUCCCGGAGGAGGGGGGAAAUCCUAUAAUCCCGGGAGGACCACCUGUGGCGAAGGCGCUCGGCUGGAACGCGUCCGACGGUGAGGGACGAAGGCCAGGUGAGCAAACCGGAUUAGAUACCCGGGUAGUCCUGGCGGUAAACGAUGCGGACUUUGUGUCGGACAAGCUAUGAGCUUGUCCGGUGCCGGAGGGAAACCGUUAAGUCCGCCGCCUGGGGAGUACGGCCGCAAGGCUGAAACUUAAAGGAAUUGGCGGG
RNAcentral lists this ribosomal RNA (414 nucleotides) under uncultured microorganism. RNAcentral describes it as "bacterial SSU rRNA". It matches the Rfam family "Archaeal small subunit ribosomal RNA", at positions 459 to 872 of the family's 1478-position model. The record is from RNAcentral.